UAAGCCCUUAGAACACUGAUAUAUCCACCUCCUGUAUCCACCGAGCAGCACUGAGCAACAGAAAUGUAACCCAAACCCAGCAUAGGAUCUGUGUCAAGGGAGAGAGCCAUCAGUCAUUCUCAUCUCUUGAAUUUCAUGGCCUCAUUGCUUCCUUCCCACCUGUAAUCACAGCUGUGCCUGUGUGACACACACUAGAGUGCUAGUGAUGGUUUAUGGGUUUCAAGGCUACAGUGUUGCAGACUCUGCCUGGCUCCCUUGGAUUACCUAGACUGGGGGAAGCCUUAAGCCCUCUCAUGACGACAUGGAAGUAGCCCUGUGGACAGCUACACAUGGAAAAACUGAGGUUCUCAGUCAACAACUGGUAUCAACUUGCCAGCCAUGUGAAUGAGCCACUUUGAAAGUAUAGCUCCCAGCUCAGCCAGGCCUUCAGAUGACUGCAGCCCCCACAUCUGGCAUCAAUCACCUAAGCCUUCGAGUGGGAAAUGUACAGCCAAGCCCUUCUAGAAACCCUGAUCUGC
This 518-nucleotide long non-coding RNA is filed under the name Homo sapiens (human). RNAcentral's name for it is "HSALNT0038352". The record is from RNAcentral. Lineage: Eukaryota; Metazoa; Chordata; Mammalia; Primates; Hominidae.